AACGAACGCUGGCGGCAUGCCUAACACAUGCAAGUCGAACGAGACCUUCGGGUCUAGUGGCGCACGGGUGCGUAACGCGUGGGAACCUGCCUUUAGGUUCGGAAUAACUCAGAGAAAUUUGAGCUAAUACCGGAUGAUGUCUUCGGACCAAAGAUUUAUCGCCUUUAGAUGGGCCCGCGUUGGAUUAGCUAGUUGGUGGGGUAAAGGCCUACCAAGGCGACGAUCCAUAGCUGGUCUGAGAGGAUGAUCAGCCACACUGGGACUGAGACACGGCCCAGACUCCUACGGGAGGCAGCAGUGGGUAAUAUUGGACAAGGGGCGAAAGCCUGAUCCAGCAGUGCCGCGUGAGUGAUGAAUGCCUUAGGGUUGUGAAGCUCUUUUACCCGAGAUGAUAAUGACAGUAACGGGAGAAUAAGCACCGGCUAACUCCGUG
RNAcentral lists this ribosomal RNA (433 nucleotides) under uncultured bacterium. RNAcentral's name for it is "partial 16S ribosomal RNA". It matches the Rfam family "Bacterial small subunit ribosomal RNA", at positions 29 to 507 of the family's 1533-position model. The record is from RNAcentral.